Molecule: ribosomal RNA, 257 nt
Filed under: uncultured bacterium
Lineage: Bacteria
Description: partial 16S ribosomal RNA
Rfam family: Bacterial small subunit ribosomal RNA
Source: RNAcentral
UACGUAGGGUGCAAGCGUUGUCCGGAAUUAUUGGGCGUAAAGAGUUCGUAGGCGGUUUGUCGCGUCCGUUGUGAAAGCUUGGGGCUCAACCCCAAGUCUGCAGUGGAUACGGGCAGACGUAGAGUCAGGUAGGGGAGAACGGAAUUCCUGGAUGUAGCGGUGAAAUGCGCAGAGUAUCAGGAGGAACACCGGUGGCGAAGGCGGUUCUCUGGGCCUGUACUGACGCUGGAGGAACGAAAGCGUGGGGAGCGAACAGG